UGGUCAAGUUAUUAAGGGUGCAGGGCGGAUGCCUUGGCACUAGGAGCCGAUGAAGGACGUGAUAAGCUGCGAUAAUCAUCGGGGAGUCGCACGUAAACUUUGAUCCGAAUAUUUCCGCAUGAGGAAACUUACUUAGAGGAAUGUCUAAGUAGCAUGAAGUGAAUACAUAGCUUAAUGAGGGGAACUCAGGGAACUGAAACAUCUAAGUACCUGAAGGAAGAGAAAGAAAUUCGAUUCCGUAAGUAGCGGCGAGCGAACGCGGAUUAGCCCAAACCAAUAAAGUUUUCUUUAUUGGGGUUGCGGACAUAUCAUAACG
This 316-nucleotide ribosomal RNA is filed under the name Clostridioides difficile. Its description in RNAcentral is "bacterial LSU rRNA". It matches the Rfam family "Bacterial large subunit ribosomal RNA", at positions 1 to 316 of the family's 2925-position model. The record is from RNAcentral. Lineage: Bacteria; Bacillati; Bacillota; Clostridia; Peptostreptococcales; Peptostreptococcaceae.